UCCUUCACAUGAGAAGAAGAGACAAUUCACAGAGCUAGCAUUAUUUUGCCUCCUGUCUUCAGAGGUAUAUUCUGCUGUUUUGUGAGAUAUUU
Small nucleolar RNA from Myotis lucifugus (little brown bat), 92 nucleotides. Its record names the gene SNORA75. It matches the Rfam family "Small nucleolar RNA SNORA75". From Rfam's summary of the family: U23 belongs to the H/ACA class of snoRNAs. snoRNAs bind a number of proteins (including dyskerin, Gar1p and Nop10p in the case of the H/ACA class) to form snoRNP complexes. This class are thought to guide the sites of modification of uridines to pseudouridines by forming direct base pairing interactions with substrate RNAs. Targets include ribosomal and spliceosomal RNAs as well as the Trypanosoma spliced leader RNA (SL RNA) as possibly other, still unknown cellular RNAs. The record is from Ensembl. NCBI's taxonomy places the organism in Eukaryota, Metazoa, Chordata, Mammalia, Chiroptera, Vespertilionidae.